Mugil cephalus (flathead mullet) is the source of this 183-nucleotide small nuclear RNA. RefSeq annotates it as U2 spliceosomal RNA. The transcript has a single exon. The record is from RefSeq and is a predicted model, not a curated record. Lineage: Eukaryota; Metazoa; Chordata; Actinopteri; Mugiliformes; Mugilidae.
AUAAUUUUAAUGAAAAAAAAAAAAAAAAUCUGUUCUUAUCAGUUUAAUAUCUGAUACGUUCUCUAUCCGAGGACCAUAUAUUAAGUUGACUUUUAGGGUUGGGAGAUGGAGCAAGGGCUUGCUCUCCCCACUCCACGCAUCGACCUGGUAUUGCCAUGUUCUGUGUAGGGCGGUGCUGAUGCG